UUUAAGGUCUAACCUGCCCAAUGAGUAUUAAAUGGCCGCAGUAAUUUGACUGUGCAAAGGUAGCAUAAUCAUUAGUUUUUUAAUUGAAAGCUGGUAUGAAUGGUUGGACGAGAAAAAUACUGUCUCAAUUUAAUUUUAAUUAAAAUUUUAUUUUUAAGUUAAAAAGCUUAAAUGCGUUUAAAAGACGAGAAGACCCUAUAGAGUUUAAUAUUUUUUUUAGUUGAAUUUUUUAGGUAUUGUUAAGAUUUAAUUAGUUAAAAUAUUUUGUUGGGGUGAUAGAAAAAUUAAAUUAACUUUUGUUUUUAUUUAACAUUGAUUUAUGAAAAACUGAUCCAUAUUUUUUGAUUAUAAGAUUAAAUUACCUUAGGGAUAACAGCGUAAUUUUUUUUAAGAGUUCUUAUCGAAAAAAAAGUUUGCGACCUCGAUGUUGGAUUAAAAUAAACUUUUGGUGUAGGAGCUAAAAAGUUAGGUCUGUUCGACCUUUAAAAUUUUACAUGAUCUGAGUUUAAACCGGUGUGAGCCAGGUUGGUUUCUAUCUUUAAAUUAAUGAUAUAUUUUAGUACGAAAGGAAUUAGUAUAUAUAAUAUUUAUUAUUUUUGAAUAUUAUUAACUA
Molecule: ribosomal RNA, 613 nt
Filed under: Madohopliini sp. BMNH 671507
Lineage: Eukaryota; Metazoa; Arthropoda; Insecta; Coleoptera; Scarabaeidae
Description: partial 16S large subunit ribosomal RNA
Rfam family: Bacterial large subunit ribosomal RNA
Source: RNAcentral